Molecule: unclassified non-coding RNA, 243 nt
Filed under: Hevea brasiliensis (rubber tree)
Lineage: Eukaryota; Viridiplantae; Streptophyta; Magnoliopsida; Malpighiales; Euphorbiaceae
Source: RNAcentral
AUGGCUACUGGGACAUUGCGUGCAAGUGAGGCUGCUGCUUUAGCAACUAAAAAAGUUAUGCAAAGAUAUGGAGAUACAUUUGCUGCUAUGAACUAAUGACAACGAAGUUGUCUUUAUAAAUUCAUCUGUAUUGGAAAUUUAAUAUCCAACUGAUUUGAUGUAAGGUAGACUUAUUGGAUGCUUAGUAGGAGAUGAGCAAACAUUCUUCCUUGAAAGAGAUCCGCAUUAUUGUACUCUUUCUGG